This 253-nucleotide ribosomal RNA is filed under the name uncultured bacterium. Its description in RNAcentral is "partial 16S ribosomal RNA". It matches the Rfam family "Bacterial small subunit ribosomal RNA", at positions 524 to 776 of the family's 1533-position model. The record is from RNAcentral.
CACGUAGGAGGCGAGCGUUGUCCGGAAUCAUUGGGCGUAAAGAGCGCGCAGGCGGCUUGGCAAGUCGGGUGUGAAAUCCCGGGGCUCAACCCCGGGACUGCAUUCGAUACUGUCAGGCUAGAGGUAGGUAGGGGAGAUCGGAAUUCCUGGUGUAGCGGUGAAAUGCGUAGAUAUCGGGAGGAACACCAGUGGCGAAGGCGACUACCUGGCCUGUUCUUGACGCUGAGGCGCGAAAGCUAGGGGAGCAAACGGG